CAGAAUUGGGUGUUCGCCUGACUAUCAAAGCAACGACUUUUUAUUCUGUUUGUACUGAACCAAAACAAACAACUGUGUAUAGACUGCUAUUUUUCUUUUUAUUUGAAAUGAGGCGUUUCGGUGUCCUUUCCCCUGCCAUGUGGCCCAUCCCCCCGCCCUCCCCCCAACAAUGGCUCCAGCAGACUGGCCGAAGGUCCCGCCGCCGCCACCGCUGCAGCAGCACCUGCACGGCUCCGCUCCAACCUGGGAAGGAAUGGGGACAUGGCCAGGAGCUAGUGUCACCAUGGCCACACGGGGAGCAGUGUGGGCCCUCAGGGGGCCUGCUGUGCAUGUGGCUCUUUUUAACACAGUAAACUAGAUUAGAUGUCAGUGUUUUAAUUGCCCCUCUCCUCUGCUCUUUUCUCUCUCCCUCUCUUUCCCCUUCUCUCAACCAGGAGACCAUCCCAUGUCUCUCUUCCUUCCUCCUUCCCCCCCUCCAGGGGAGCCAGGCUGUCUGAAAUACUUCAGCUUCUCUCCCCCAUCCCCCUGCUUCUCUCCUGCUGUCAGAUGGAUUUAUUCCUUUUUUAAACAGUGAACAUCGGAAAUGAGACUGUGGGGUGUGUUGUUGUUUUUUUUUUUUCCUCCCAAUUUUUGUUGUUGGGUUUUUGAGCAACCUCAUGUCCCCCUCCCAGGGAGCUUUCUUUAUUUACCUCUUAGAAGUGGAACGGAUGGGAGGUAGAGCAGUGUACUCCAGCAUGCUUUGUUUUAUGAUGAGAUUACAUAGCAAGGCUUUUAAUGCCAUCUGGGCAGGUGAGCUUCUGCACCUCUGUUGUGCUCAGCUAUAUUUUCUUCUUCCUCUCAUUCUUCUUUGUCUUCUUUUUUCCUCUCCCCCUCCUCCUGCCUCCUUCCUGCUGGCCUCCUUUUAUCUUUCUUUCCCUUUGUCAGAUUAUCCUUCCAGGUUUUCGUAAUAAAUUUAUAUUUUGUAAAAGGAUUUUGUUGUACCAGGUUUUGCAUCCUCACUGAAUCUGACUGGCUUUUAUUUUCCUCUCCAAAAUCAGGUUUUUGUUCUCAACAUCUUUCCCCAUCAUGUCCAGUCACUGUUUUGGUUUUGGCACCAUCAAUAUCAAAUGUACAAACGGUUCUUGCUAACCAACACCAGGUAUAUCUGAUGUUCAGAUGAGUUCCAAUAAAAACAAUUUUUUUUU
Molecule: long non-coding RNA, 1184 nt
Filed under: Phocoena sinus (vaquita)
Lineage: Eukaryota; Metazoa; Chordata; Mammalia; Artiodactyla; Phocoenidae
Description: lncRNA (ENSPSNG00000022282.1)
Source: RNAcentral